UAACAACAAUGCUACGGACAGUCGGGUAAAGCAGUCGCCCCGCAGUCGCCAACUCAGCAAUCACGUGUUUAGGUUGCUCCGAAAUUGAAAACCCUAUAUUGCCCCCAAAAUAGAAACAAUAUCCCGAAUUAGACAACACCACCUGAAAUAGAAAGAAAAGCUAAAAAAAAAAAAAGGUUCCGCUUCGCCUUUUCGUUCUGCAACUGAGCUCGUCACGCUCACAGAAAUUAUGCUACGGACGUGUGCGCUGGAGACGAUCUGUGUGAGAAAGAUUUCGUGUAGUUUGGUCUGAUAGUUGGAAGUGGUUUGAGAUCUGAAAAAUUCGUGCUCGUGGUCUGAAGCUUGGGUUUCGUGGUGCUCUGGUGUGGGUGUCGUGUGGGUCAUCUUUUGAAAAGGGGAUACUAUUAAUGGAGAAAGGAUGUGUACCCAGCAUAUUUUUUGUUUUAAAAUGUUCUGCCCAUCACUGGUCAGUAAUUCAGAUUAAAUACUGCAUAUUUGUUAUAUUAAAAUGUUCUGCCCAUCCUAUGUAAUUAUUUCAGAUCAAAUACAUCUCAAUCCAAUGGGGAAUAAGACCUUGUCAAGAGAGCAAUAACAAUAGACCCAAAAUGCAUAAUCUGAAAAUUGGAUAGGUAAUAACAGAAAAUUAGCAGCCCCUGCUGCAAUCUCUUACAUUAACCUCAUAGCUUUUACAAGAACAAGAUCUUGCAUGAAACAAGACCAUUUACAUGUUUUCUGGAGCUUCCCCAGAUUUCAAAAUAAAGUUCCACAAGGGGCAGUUUCCCUAGAACU
Carya illinoinensis is the source of this 789-nucleotide long non-coding RNA. RefSeq lists it as uncharacterized. The record is from RefSeq and is a predicted model, not a curated record. Lineage: Eukaryota; Viridiplantae; Streptophyta; Magnoliopsida; Fagales; Juglandaceae. The transcript has 2 exons.